This 593-nucleotide ribosomal RNA is filed under the name Kosakonia sp. RNAcentral describes it as "bacterial SSU rRNA". It matches the Rfam family "Bacterial small subunit ribosomal RNA", at positions 848 to 1440 of the family's 1533-position model. Lineage: Bacteria; Pseudomonadati; Pseudomonadota; Gammaproteobacteria; Enterobacterales; Enterobacteriaceae. The record is from RNAcentral.
GAGCUAACGCGUUAAGUAGUCCGCCUGGGGAGUACGGCCGCAAGGUUAAAACUCAAAUGAAUUGACGGGGGCCCGCACAAGCGGUGGAGCAUGUGGUUUAAUUCGAUGCAACGCGAAGAACCUUACCUGGUCUUGACAUCCUGAGAACUUCGCAGAGAUGGUUUGGUUCCUUCGGGAACUGUGAGACAGGUGCUGCAUGGCUGUCGUCAGCUCGUGUUGUGAAAUGUUGGGUUAAGUCCCGCAACGAGCGCAACCCUUAUCCUUUGUUGCCAGCGGUCAGGCCGGGAAUUCAAAGGAGACUGCCAGUGAUAAACUGGAGGAAGGUGGGGAUGACGUCAAGUCAUCAUGGCCCUUACGACUAGGGCUACACACGUGUUACAAUGGCGCAUACAAAGAGAAGCGACCUCGCGAGAGCAAGCGGACUUCAUAAACUGCGUUGUAGUCCGGAUUGGAGUUUGCAAUUCGAUUCCAUGAAGUGGGAAUCGUUAGUAAUCGUGGAUCAGAAUGCCCCGGUGAAUACGUUCCCGGCCUUUGUACACACCCCCCGUCACACCCAUGGGAUUGGGUUCCAAAAGAAGUAGGGUAGGCUUACC